RNAcentral lists this long non-coding RNA (2610 nucleotides) under Fukomys damarensis (Damara mole-rat). RNAcentral describes it as "lncRNA (ENSFDAG00000027287.1)". Lineage: Eukaryota; Metazoa; Chordata; Mammalia; Rodentia; Bathyergidae. The record is from RNAcentral.
AUUAAUUUAGGCCUGUAGUGUACUUAUGAGAGCUCCACUCCUAGCAUUGUAACAGAUGCAUUUCAGGCAGCGGUGGCCCUUUUGCCCACCACAAAAUUCUGUGUCCCAGGACUGUUAAGAGAGAAAGUCAGUAGGGGUGUGUGGUGCAUUUUGCACACAUUAUUGCACAAUCAGAUUCAGGCAGCACCCUGCCCCUCCCAAUUUGGUUUCUUCUUCACACACAUUUGUUUCCUUGCAGCAACAAUUCUGCUAGACAAAUUCUUCCAGGAAAGAGACAUUGUCAGAACUCCUUCAGGCAGCGGAAGACAGGACAUGGUGCCACCAGGAUGAACCUCCAGCCAUCUUCUUUCUGGUUGUCCUUUGGAAGGCUAGGAAGAGAGUCUUGCAAACAUAGGAAAGAUGUUGUGAGGACCCUGAGCACUGCAUUCUGCUUCCCCGGAAGCUGGACUGAGCCAUGUCCUUGUUGUCCUUCCCGUCUGUGGUCUUGUCCAGAUAUUUCAGGUGAGUGGUCAAAUCCUUUGGUCCUGGCUGAAUCUAGAACUUGCAGAUCCUUAGCUGGAUGUGGGACUAUUUUCAUUGGGGUCCUGGGUGAGGAAAAACAGUUUCUUUACUUAAUGUGUUUUGAUAUCUUUGAAAUCGUGAUUAGAAAUUUUAAAGGAGCAGCUAAAUGCAUACUCACUGGAAGCGGUAGACCGAAUAGAUCUUAACUUCCAAAGCUGCUGUAGCCCUCCGUGAAACCAAAUUGUGCUUUUCAAGUCUCCAAAAGCUUCCCUUCUUCUCUCCCACAACAACUAUUUCUGUUGCAAGGUAAAGCUAAGUAAAUAAACAGACGGCUUGUUGUAAAUGGAAGGAACAGAACAGCACCUCUUUUCUGUGGAAUAGGAAGCUAAUGAAAGGGGAUUUUUCUCAUUUAGGACUGCUGCAAACCUCCCAAAAUGCAGGGGAGAAAAAAGCAAGAAGAAAGGAUUUUGUAUGUUUUUGCCAUAAAGAGAUGAUAAUUGUUUGAGGAGAUAGAUAUACUUUUCCCAAUUUGAAUGUUACACAAUGUAUCCAUGUACUGAAACAUCACAUGGUACCCCAUAAAGAAGUAUACCCCUUUUAUGUAUCAGUUACAAAUUUAACAAGAUAAUUAUGCAGCAGAAGGAGGUGACACAUUCCUCUUAAGACCCCAGUUCAUUGUCAUGGUGGCAUCUGCACCCUCUGCCCUGAGAAUACAAAGGCCAAUCAGUCCCAGAGCUGUUUAGUCUAGAGAAAGAAAAGAAACAGAGAAAAUAGAAGAAGCAGUGAAAACAGCAAGAAUGAGAUUUCCUCUGGCCAUGUGGCACAGAUAGUGAGCUGGUGAGAAAAGCCCGGAUGGGACUUGGGUCUUUGAAAAGGCAUCACCGUUUCCCUGUGCUAAGAUGAGGCUGUUGGUGAAAAUGAGCUUUGGCAUUCAUUUAUUUGUGCCCUUCUUAUUAUUAAGUGUGCAGCCUGACGACCACACAAGCAGCACACCUGUGCCUUCAGCCCCAGCGGAGACGUGGGCUGCGCCAGCUUCCCCAGUGACCCUCGUGCCCUCGUCAUCACCCUCACCAGCGAACCCACUAUCUCCCCACAGUCCAGAUGAGCUUCGUCUCAUGCAGGGAUUGAAAAAUGUACUUUUGUGUAUGAGUACCAAGGAAAAAAGCCCUCGUAAUUUCUUACAAGAGUUGGAGGGGGCAGAAAUUGUGUAAUGGUUUCUUUUCUCUGGCCGCUCUUAGUUAAACCCGUUAAGCUGGAAGUGUUCAAGUUGGGUGCUGGCUGGUAUCAGGUUUAAAUCGACUGGUCUCUGCGGCCCAGGAUGUGUCCAGGCUUCAAGCCAGUCACCUGCUCUUGGCAGUAUCUCUGCCAAAGGCAGCCAUGUGCCUUACCUACCUUGCCAAAGCCUCUGUCACAUCUUGCAAAGACACAGGGCUGAAAACAUGAGGAAGGGGACACCAAAAUAGCCAAGAGUUCUCUGAAUGUACUGGCCUUCUGGAAAGUAAGGCCAGGCUCAGCCACUAAAACAGAUUACCUGAGGUGGACAUUUUUGUCCAACUUCCGAACUUCUGAAUGAGAGCAUGAUUGAUUAAUUUCCCUUCCUCAGCAUAGAUCUCAUAGUAUUUGUUUUCUUCCUUUUUUUUUUUUUUUUGAGAUAGGGUUUCUCUAUGUAGCUUGAGCUUGAGCUACAGCUAUCACUCUGUAGCCCUGGCUGGCCGCAAACUCGCAGGGAUCCUCCUGCCUCAGCCUCCCGAGUGCUGGGAUUACAUUGUAUGUCUUGAUGUGCUUUCUGUCCCCUUUUCUUUUUGCUGCAGGAGGCAAACAAUACAAAGGCGGGGAUAAAGCUGUGGAACAUACAUUGUAAUAUGUCUGGAGCGGCAUCAGAAAAGGACUUAUUUGUUCUCCUGGGCUGUGGAGUGAUUGAAUGCUCGCCAAACUGUCAGUUUUAUGAAACAAAUUCCCUAACCCCCUUGGCCCAGAGCUUUGCUCAGCCUGAGAUGGAAAAGAAAUAACUUUUAAUAGAAAACUCAUUGCUAAAAUCUAAGAUAAGAUUUCAGAGUUACUUCUCUCCGAAGAAUAAAAUGAAAUACUGAAGCAAGCAGUUGAUGGGGG